AAGGAACUGACGGGCCAUGGACGGACAGACGACCUGGGCUGGGGGAAGGGAAGGGAAGGAGGCCCGGGAACCGGCAGCUGGGGUCGGAGGGGGCGCAGAGACAAGGAGACAGAGAGACGCAGAGGAGACUCUUGGAGAGGAGGACAACGGAUGGGCCGUCAAGGGCUGGAGAGGACGCGCGGGCUGCUCCAGGGGUGGGGACUCCUCUAUCCCUUGGCCCCGGACAAGUCCCAGGGCACGGACGUGACCCAUUACGAACAGGCAGUGAAGCUGUGGCAGGGCUGGAGCUGCCCCAGGCUCUGGCAUCAUCCCCGAGGGCUGGAGCUCACUCCCCGCUAGAGGCUUUUCCGGACCCCACGUCCACAGGCAGGUGCAUCUGGUGAAGCUUUCGGCCACAGUUGGAGUGCAGUGGUGCCAUCUCCCUUCACGACGAACUCCACCCCCCAUCCCCAGGAUCAAGCGAUCCUCCCACCUCAGCCUCCCAGAGCUGGGACCACAGAUGCGUGCCACCACGCCCAGGUAUGUUUUGGUAUUUUUGGUAGAGACGGGGUUUCACCAUGUUGCCCAGGCUGGUCUUGAACUCCUGACCUCAAGCAAUACAUCAGCCUCUGCCUCCCAAAGUGUUGGGAUUACAGGCGUGAGCCGCUGUGCCCAGCUGAGUGUUCUGACCCUUGGGCGGCCCUCACUCAUUUUCCGGGAGCCUCGCCUUGCAGGGGUCCUCCCUGGGGCUGUUGGGAGGAAGGUUCAGACCCUGGAGCUGGGCUUCUGUGGGUCUAGACCCAGCCUGUGCUAAUCACAUGAGGCCCAGGCUAGAAAGCCAUGUCAACACACCUCUCAAACACAGCCAGGGAGUCAGGGAGCCACCUAGGUCACACAGCCAGUGAAUGUUGAGAGGGACCGUGGCAUCCUGGCUCCUGCCCAGUUGCUGCCUCCUUCUCAGGAAAAACAAAAUAUCCUCACAGAUCUUUUACCUUGUAACUUGAAGGGCUGCCUGUUGCAUAAGCUCCAAGCAUUGAGUCACGGUCAAGGGCCUGGCUAGCCUGCAGGGAGGGCUGGCUGUGGUGCGGCCCUGCUCCUGGGGCUUGUUGCAGCCAACAGGGAGGGCUGGGGGGCACCCCACAGAAGGCAGGGACAGAGCAGCAAGCAUCAGGGGCUGCGCAGGAGUCUCGGUCGUUGCUCUGCCUGCAGCUGCUGGGAGACAGGCACAGCCUGGCACAGCGAAGGUGGCCAUCGGUGAGUGAGCAAGUGAUCGCCUGGCUGGGCACCAGGGGAGGCGGAAAGAACAUGAGAACAAGCCUCCCCACUGCUGCCCGCCUGGAAGCUGUCGAUCUCCCACAGGGCCCGCUGAGCCCAGCUGCUCUGAACCCAGUGGCAAGCGUGGGCCCCGCAGAGCCAGC
This 1397-nucleotide long non-coding RNA is filed under the name Homo sapiens (human). RNAcentral's name for it is "non-protein coding lnc-MYBBP1A-1:4". The record is from RNAcentral. Lineage: Eukaryota; Metazoa; Chordata; Mammalia; Primates; Hominidae.